CUAUCGGAGAGUUUGAUCCUGGCUCAGAACGAACGCUGGCGGUACGCUUAACACAUGCAAGUCGAACGGUAACGGGUCC
Molecule: ribosomal RNA, 79 nt
Filed under: Magnetococcales bacterium
Lineage: Bacteria; Pseudomonadati; Pseudomonadota; Magnetococcia; Magnetococcales
Description: partial 16S ribosomal RNA
Rfam family: Bacterial small subunit ribosomal RNA
Source: RNAcentral